This is a non-coding RNA of Ornithorhynchus anatinus (platypus), 138 nucleotides long. Lineage: Eukaryota; Metazoa; Chordata; Mammalia; Monotremata; Ornithorhynchidae. The record is from Rfam.
ACCCUCUCAAGAUGGCACCUGGAGAGUUUCUUGUGUUCUACCAGUCUCAGCUAUGGGAGGGAGAGUCAAGCAAAGGUAUAUCCAUUUCAUUCCUAGCUUGGGUAGUGGCUUGCGAGUGGAAGGCAAUUUGCUACAAGU